GAUGAACGCUGGCGGCGUGCCUAAUACAUGCAAGUCGAGCGAACAGACGAGGAGCUUGCUCCUCUGACGUUAGCGGCGGACGGGUGAGUAACACGUGGAUAACCUACCUAUAAGACUGGGAUAACUUCGGGAAACCGGAGCUAAUACCGGAUAAUAUAUUGAACCGCAUGGUUCAAUAGUGAAAGACGGUUUUGCUGUCACUUAUAGAUGGAUCCGCGCCGCAUUAGCUAGUUGGUAAGGUAACGGCUUACCAAGGCAACGAUGCGUAGCCGACCUGAGAGGGUGAUCGGCCACACUGGAACUGAGACACGGUCCAGACUCCUACGGGAGGCAGCAGUAGGGAAUCUUCCGCAAAAGGCGAAAGCUUGACGGAGCAACGCCGCGUGAGUGAUGAAGGUCUUCGGAUCGUAAAACUCUGUUAUUAGGGAAGAACAAAUGUGUAAGUAACUAUGCACGUCUUGACGGUACCUAAUCAGAAAGCCACGGCUAACUACGUG
RNAcentral lists this ribosomal RNA (497 nucleotides) under uncultured bacterium. Its description in RNAcentral is "partial 16S ribosomal RNA". It matches the Rfam family "Bacterial small subunit ribosomal RNA", at positions 28 to 507 of the family's 1533-position model. The record is from RNAcentral.